Molecule: ribosomal RNA, 116 nt
Filed under: Larimichthys crocea (large yellow croaker)
Lineage: Eukaryota; Metazoa; Chordata; Actinopteri; Sciaenidae
Source: RNAcentral
ACUAACUGCCAUACCACCCGAAUGCGCCCGAUCUCGUCUGAUCUCGGAAGCUAAGCAGGUUUAGGCCGGGUUAGUACUUGGAUGGGGAACCGCCUGGAAUACAGGUGCUGUAAGCU